Molecule: ribosomal RNA, 253 nt
Filed under: uncultured bacterium
Lineage: Bacteria
Description: partial 16S ribosomal RNA
Rfam family: Bacterial small subunit ribosomal RNA
Source: RNAcentral
GACGUAGGGGGCGAGCGUUGUCCGGAUUCAUUGGGCGUAAAGCGCGCGCAGGCGGCUCGGAAAGUCGGAUGUGAAAACCCGGGGCUCAACCCCGGGCCUGCAGUCGAUACGGGCAGACUAGAGUGCGGUAGGGGAGACUGGAAUUCCUGGUGUAGCGGUGAAAUGCGCAGAUAUCAGGAGGAACACCGGUGGCGAAGGCGGGUCUCUGGGCAACUACUGACGCUGAGGAGCGAAAGCGUGGGGAGCGAACAGG